CAGCCGCCGCGAUAAUUCGGAGGAUCCAAGCGUUAUCCGGAAUCAUUGGGUUUAAAGGGUCCGUAGGCGGUUUAAUAAGUCAGUGGUAAAAGCCCAUCGCUCAACGGUGGAACGGCCAUUGAUACUGUUAAACUUGAAUUAUUAGGAAGUAACUAGAAUAUGUAGUGUAGCGGUGAAAUGCUUAGAGAUUACAUGGAAUACCAAUUGCGAAGGCAGGUUACUACUAAUGGAUUGACGCUGAUGGACGAAAGCGUGGGUAGCGAACAGGAUUAGAUACCCUGGUAGUCCACGCCGUAAACGAUGGAUACUAGCUGUUGGGCGCAAGUUCAGUGGCUAAGCGAAAGUGAUAAGUAUCCCACCUGGCGUGUACGUUCGCAAGAAUGAAACUCAAAGGAAUUGA
This 400-nucleotide ribosomal RNA is filed under the name Bacteroidetes bacterium enrichment culture clone LiUU-17-770. RNAcentral describes it as "bacterial SSU rRNA". It matches the Rfam family "Bacterial small subunit ribosomal RNA", at positions 509 to 913 of the family's 1533-position model. The record is from RNAcentral. Lineage: Bacteria; Pseudomonadati; Bacteroidota.